GAUGAACGCUGGCGGCGUGCCUAAUACAUGCAAGUCGAGCGAACGGACGAGAAGCUUGCUUCUCUGAUGUUAGCGGCGGACGGGUGAGUAACACGUGGAUAACCUACCUAUAAGACUGGGAUAACUUCGGGAAACCGGAGCUAAUACCGGAUAAUAUUUUGAACCGCAUGGUUCAAAAGUGAAAGACGGUCUUGCUGUCACUUAUAGAUGGAUCCGCGCUGCAUUAGCUAGUUGGUAAGGUAACGGCUUACCAAGGCAACGAUGCAUAGCCGACCUGAGAGGGUGAUCGGCCACACUGGAACUGAGACACGGUCCAGACUCCUACGGGGGGCAGCAGUAGGGAAUCUUCCGCAAUGGGCGAAAGCCUGACGGAGCAACGCCGCGUGAGUGAUGAAGGCCUUCGGAUCGUAAAACUCUGUUAUUAGGGAAGAACAUAUGUGUAAGUAACUGUGCACAUCUUGACGGUACCUAAUCAGAAAGCCACGGCUAACUACGUG
This 497-nucleotide ribosomal RNA is filed under the name uncultured bacterium. Its description in RNAcentral is "partial 16S ribosomal RNA". It matches the Rfam family "Bacterial small subunit ribosomal RNA", at positions 28 to 507 of the family's 1533-position model. The record is from RNAcentral.